RNAcentral lists this ribosomal RNA (2169 nucleotides) under Triticum aestivum (bread wheat). Its description in RNAcentral is "partial small subunit ribosomal RNA". The record is from RNAcentral. Lineage: Eukaryota; Viridiplantae; Streptophyta; Magnoliopsida; Poales; Poaceae.
AUGGAUCGUGAGGUCCUGGAGCGUAUACUUGAUGGAAGAGAGAAUCCGAGAAAUCUAUCACUCGCACUUUUGAAGGAUGUCACAGAAAAUUUCUCGGAGGAUCGAGAAAUCGGCCACGGUGGAUUUGCAACUGUUUAUAAGAUGAACCGGCAAUGGAUGUACGGUGACAGACACACCCCCGAGUACAUUAAGGGCGUGCAUGAGUUUCUCGAUGCGGCUGAGGCAAACAAGCAGAAUGGUUUUAUGUGUUGUCCAUGCACUGAAUGUGGGAAUACGAGGUCUUACUCUAACCGGAAAAUCCUUCACUCCCACCUGCUUUACAAGGGUUUCAUGCUACACUAUAAUGUUUGGACGAGGCAUGGAGAAAUAGGGGUUAUGAUGGAAGACGGCGAAGAAGAAGAGUACGAUGACAACUAUGUGCCCCCUGAAUACGAUGAUGCUGCAACGGGGGGAGCUGGUGAAGAUCAAGAGGAACCAGACGAUGUGCCCAAUGAUGCUGCCACGGGUGAAGCUGCUGAAGAUCAAGAGGAACCAGACGAUGUGCCCGAUGAUGAUGAUCUCCGCCGGGUCAUUGUCGAUGCAAGGACGCAAUGCAUUAGUCAAAAGGAGAAGCUGAAGUUCGAUCGCAUGUUAGAGGAUCACCAAAAAGGGUUAUACCCCAAUUGCGAAGAUGGCAACACAAAGCUCGGUACCGUACUGGAAUUGCUGCAGUGGAAGGCAGAGAAUGCUGUGGCUGACAAAGGAUUUGAGAAGCUACUGAAAAUAUUGAAGAAGAAGCUUCCAAAGGAUAAUGAAUUGCCCGACAGUACAUACGCAGCAAAAAAGGUCGUAUGCCCUCUAGGAUUGGAGGUGGAGAAGAUACAUGCAUGCCCUAAUGACUACAUCCUCUACCGCGGUGCAUACAACGAUCUGAACACAUGCCCGGUAUGCGGUGCGUUGCGGUAUAAGAUCAGACGAGAUGACCCUGGUGAUGUUGACGGCGAGCCCCUCAGGAAGAGGGUUCCUGCGAAGGUGAUGUGGUAUGCUCCUAUAAUACCACGGUUCAAACGUCUGUUCAGAAACGAAGAGCAUGCCAAGUUGAUGCGAUGGUACAGUGAGAACCGAAUGAAAGAUGGGAAGUUGAGAGCACCCGCUGACCGGUCGCAGUGGAGAAAUAUCGAGAGAAAGUACUGGGAUGAGUUUGCAAAGGACCCAAGGAAUGUAUGGUUUGCUUUAAGCGCGGAUGGCAUUAAUCCUUUCGGGGAGCAGAGCAGCAAUCACAGCACCUGGCCCGUGACUCUAUGUAUGUAUAACCUUCCUCCUUGGAUGUGCAUGAAGCGGAAGUUCAUUAUGAUGCCAGUUCUCAUCCAAGGCCCUAAGCAACUCGGCAACGAAAUUGAUGUGUACCUAAGGCCAUUAGUUGAAGAACUUUUACAGCUGUGGAAUGGAAACGGUGUACGUACGUGGGAUGAGCACAGACAGGAGGAAUUUAACCUUAAGGCGUUGCUGUUCGUGACCAUCAACGAUUGGCCCGCUCUCAGUAACCUUUCAGGACAGACAAACAAAGGAUACCACGCAUGCACGCAUUGUUUAGAUGACACUGAAAGUAUAUACCUGGACAAAUGCAGGAAGAAUGUGUACCUGGGCCAUCGUCGAUUUCUUCCGACCAACCAUCAAUGUCGAAAGAAAGGCAAGCAUUUCAAAGGUGAGGCAGAUCACCGGAAGAAGCCCGUCAUGCGCACCGGUGAUCACGUGCUUGCUAUGGUCAAUGAUUUACACUACGUAAUCUUUGGAAAGGGUCCCGGUGGACUAGCUGUUCCGAAUGACGCUGAGGGACACGCACCCAUGUGGAAGAAGAAAUCUAUAUUUUGGGACCUACCCUACUGGAAAGACCUAGAUGUCCGCUCCUCAAUCGACGUGAUGCACGUGACGAAGAACCUUUGCGUGAACCUGCUAGGCUUCUUGGGCGUGUAUGAGAAGACAAAAGAUACACCUGAGGCACGAGAGGACCUGCAACGUUUGCACGAAAAAGACGGCAUGCCUCCGAAGCAGUAUAAAGGUCCUGCCAGCUACGCUCUUACGAAAGAAGAGAAAGAAAUCUUCUUUGAAUGCCUGCUCAGUAUGAAGGUCACGACUGGCUUCUCGUCGAAUAUAAAGGGAAUAAUAAAUAUGCCAGAGAAAAAGUUUUAG